This is a long non-coding RNA of Diachasmimorpha longicaudata, 2262 nucleotides long. RefSeq lists it as uncharacterized. The transcript has 2 exons. Lineage: Eukaryota; Metazoa; Arthropoda; Insecta; Hymenoptera; Braconidae. The record is from RefSeq and is a predicted model, not a curated record.
GUUUCCAUGAAUGUAAUAACACCCCCAACGCUCCAUAACGGACCCUACAAAAUUCAGUAUAUUUUCAAGAUCUUCUGUGGCGAAUGUGACUCUUGGGGGUGGCGCACCAUUUUUAAUGGCCAGCCACCAUAAGGUCCUGAACACCCUGACGGAAUACGGAAGCAUCAUUAUAUCAUCAAGUGAAGGUGAUCCUUGGCUCUCGGUAAUAUUCCUGACGAAUAAAAAAUCUCUCGUUGGAGAUUCUGGGACUGAAAACGAAUCAAUUUACCUUCUCAUCAAAAAAAUUAUCUACCACUUCGAUUAGAUGGAGAAGUUCCUUUGCACGAAAGGAAAUUUUAGGGAAAAAUUAGACCUCCAGGGGGGUGGAAUGAGGGAGGAAGGUUAGGUUUAUCAUAAAAUUAGUCUCCCAAGUCUAAUUUUUCGCACAAAACUAUCACCCAAAAAGUGGUUGACUGUCAUUUCGUCGCAGAUUUCAUCCUCUAGAGGUUUAAUUUUUAUCCAAAAUUUCUUUUCGUGUGGGGUAACGGUCGCAGGACAUCUGUCAGAUAUAAAAAUUAAAAAAGGAGAAAAUACUUCUACUAUCAACUGCAUUUUGCGAAGAACAGGAGGCGCCUGGAUAUUAGAGGUUAGAAUUUUCCAAAGUCUCCUUCGUUCUCUUGUAUUUUGGGUCCUUAAUCUCUAUUAUAAGACAGAUAUAAAGGUGUUGUAUCGGCUAAGCGAGGUCGGUAUCCCAAAGGGUCUUGUCAGUGUUUGGUUGAUGAUAUUUUUGUUAUUAUCAACUGAAAUGGUAGAUAUUUUCGACGGACAGAAAAAUUGCCGAGAGCUGGAGUCGAACCAGGUUACGCUUCGAGCGAAUUGUUUUUUAAGACAGACGUCCUACCACCUCAGCCAAGAAUUACUCUACACUGAUUGACGGAAUGACGACGACUGCGGUAGCCGUCCAACGAGGCUCCCUAAUUCCAACGAUUUGUACCGAUCCUUCCCGAUCUCGGCACGAUCAAUCCCGGUUUCGAACUGUGUACAAUAGUUGUCUUUUUGCCUUCGAAUGCAAGCACUACACAAAGACGUUGUUGUACCUCAGGAACUACUCUACCGAUCGGGGUGUACCUGGGUGACAUAACAGAGCUUCAUCGUAGCUUGAAUUCAAAAUUUUUCCGAUUGAAUUUCACCGCAUUUAUGUUAAAUUUUCUCACAAUUUAUGAAUAAAAACUCAAGUUAUUGGACUCGUAUUGAAAUGACCUUGAAUUGAAAUUUACCAUACACUUCAUAACAUUCUAAACAUCUUGAGAUAAAAAUUAGAGGACCGAAAAGUCCUUGAAAUGCAAUACUUCCAGCAGGAAGACAAAAAUAAAUAAAUUCAGUGGCCAUAUUUGUUACGAGCGAAUUUAUUUCCUCAUUCCUUAAGGAUUUUAUCAAUAAACAAACUACGAAUUUCAGCAUUAUAUAAAUUUAUUGACCACAAUUAUAUAAACUAUUUCCUCCUUGACAUUCCUCCUCAAACCCCUAUUGCAAAUGGUUAUUUGAUUUCGUAAACGUCCUGACUAUUAACAUUUGAUUCAACUUCAACUUGACGAUUCCAUCAUAUACACUGUUAUAUUACAAAAAUAAUUUCAAAUCUCAAAUAAAAAUUUCACGUUAAAACAUCGUCAAUAACCCUUAAUUCUAACGAUUCAUGAUUAAAACAACACGUUCUACGUCUCGUCAUAUCAUCAUCCUAAGCCUAGUGGAACCGAUUUAUAAUUAAAAUCACAAUUAAUCAUGCAGAGCAGUAACAAUAAUACAGUAGGUCAAACCUGAUAAAUGCAAUUCGAUAGAUUUUCGGGAGAGAAUGCGUCUCUCCUUUCACUUUUCCUUCGUUAUUUUUCAGUAACAAUUUGGAAAAAUCCAACAGACUGAGUCUUAAAACUAACAAAACGAAAAUAAAAAUAAAAAAAUGUGAUCUAUUCAUUGAGUGAUGAGAGGAAACGAGCUAUUCAUUCAGUUUUUUUGCAAAUAUCUUUAGAGGGGAAGAAUUUAGAAAAAAAUAGCCCAAUUGUUUUGCGCAGAACUACCUACUUUUGCAAAUAAUGUCAAAUAAUGUCAAAUAAAUUCAAAACUUGAGGAAACAUUAACAAAAUAGUCCCACUAAUUCUAUAAUUUGUUUUUUGUUCUUUCCUUUAUGUGAUAAUAAUUGUUCGCUUAAAUCGGCAAUAAUUGGUGAUGUGAAAAAUGUCACGAGACAUCUUUUGCAGAGAAUUUCAUAUCCUUCAAAAACCAUUCAGG